This 152-nucleotide ribosomal RNA is filed under the name Actinomucor sp. JHS0708. RNAcentral describes it as "5.8S ribosomal RNA". It matches the Rfam family "5.8S ribosomal RNA". From Rfam's summary of the family: 5.8S ribosomal RNA (5.8S rRNA) is a component of the large subunit of the eukaryotic ribosome. The record is from RNAcentral. Lineage: Eukaryota; Fungi; Mucoromycota; Mucoromycetes; Mucorales; Mucoraceae.
CAACUUUUAACAACGGAUCUCUUGGUUCUCGCAUCGAUGAAGAACGUAGCAAAGUGCGAUAACUAGUGUGAAUUGCAUAUUCAGUGAAUCAUCGAGUCUUUGAACGCAUCUUGCAUCUGCUGGUAUUCCAGCAGGUACGCCUGUUUCAGUAU